Molecule: ribosomal RNA, 435 nt
Filed under: uncultured bacterium
Lineage: Bacteria
Description: partial 16S ribosomal RNA
Rfam family: Bacterial small subunit ribosomal RNA
Source: RNAcentral
AGCGAACGCUGGCGGCAGGCUUAACACAUGCAAGUCGAACGGGCAUCUUCGGAUGUCAGUGGCAGACGGGUGAGUAACACGUGGGAACGUACCCUUCGGUUCGGAAUAUCUCAGGGAAACUUGAGCUAAUACCGGAUACGCCCUUUUGGGGAAAGGUUUACUGCCGAAGGAUCGGCCCGCGUCUGAUUAGCUUGUUGGUGGGGUAACGGCCUACCAAGGCGACGAUCAGUAGCUGGUCUGAGAGGAUGAUCAGCCACACUGGGACUGAGACACGGCCCAGACUCCUACGGGAGGCAGCAGUGGGGAAUAUUGGACAAUGGGCGCAAGCCUGAUCCAGCCAUGCCGCGUGAGUGAUGAAGGCCUUAGGGUUGUAAAGCUCUUUUGUCCGGGACGAUAAUGACGGUACCGGAAGAAUAAGCCCCGGCUAACUUCGUG